GAUGAACGCUGGCGGCGUGCCUAACACAUGCAAGUCGAGCGAACGGACCAGAAGUUUGCUUCUCUGAUGUUAUCGGCGGACGGGUGAGGAACACGUGGAUAGCCUACCUAUAAGACUGGGAUAACUUCUGGAAACCGGAGCUUAUGCCGGAUAAUAUUUUGAACCGCAUGGUUCAACCGUGGAAGACGGUCUUUCUUUCAGUUAUAGAUGGAUCCGCGCUGCAUUAGCUAGUUGUUAAGGUAAGGACUUACCAAGGCCACGAGGGAUAGCCGACCUCGGAGGGGGAUCGGCGACACUGGAAUUGAGACAGGGUCACGACCCCGACGGGAGGGAGAAGUAGGGAAUCUGACGAGAGGGGAGAAAGCGGGACGGAGCAACGGCGAGGGAGUGAUGAAGGUCUCCGGAUCGGAGAAGUCUGUUAUUAGGGAAGGACAUAUGGGUAAGUAACUGUGCACAUCUUGACGGUACCUGAUCAGAAAGCCACGGCUAACUACGUG
Molecule: ribosomal RNA, 497 nt
Filed under: uncultured bacterium
Lineage: Bacteria
Description: partial 16S ribosomal RNA
Rfam family: Bacterial small subunit ribosomal RNA
Source: RNAcentral